This 74-nucleotide transfer RNA is filed under the name Bacilli bacterium. Its description in RNAcentral is "tRNA-Gly". It matches the Rfam family "tRNA". From Rfam's summary of the family: Transfer RNA (tRNA) molecules are approximately 80 nucleotides in length. Their secondary structure includes four short double-helical elements and three loops (D, anti-codon, and T loops). Further hydrogen bonds mediate the characteristic L-shaped molecular structure. tRNAs have two regions of fundamental functional importance: the anti-codon, which is responsible for specific mRNA codon recognition, and the 3' end, to which the tRNAs corresponding amino acid is attached (by aminoacyl-tRNA synthetases). tRNAs cope with the degeneracy of the genetic code in two manners: having more than one tRNA (with a specific anti-codon) for a particular amino acid; and 'wobble' base-pairing, i.e. permitting non-standard base-pairing at the 3rd anti-codon position. Lineage: Bacteria; Bacillati; Bacillota; Bacilli. The record is from RNAcentral.
GCGAGAGUAGUUAAGUGAUUAUAACGUUGGAAAAUCCAUUCCAAAAUCGGUGGUUUGAAUCCAUCCUCUCUGCU